Vombatus ursinus (common wombat) is the source of this 6940-nucleotide RNA transcript. It is a transcript of the gene named 6-phosphofructo-2-kinase/fructose-2,6-biphosphatase 2, with no coding region annotated. NCBI's taxonomy places the organism in Eukaryota, Metazoa, Chordata, Mammalia, Diprotodontia, Vombatidae. The record is from RefSeq and is a predicted model, not a curated record. The transcript is spliced from 17 exons.
GUUACUGCGCAGCGCCUAGGAUGGAUGGGGCCUGGGGCUGGGCAGGAUGAGGGGCGGUCGAUGCAUUUGUGUAACAACCCGGAGGAUGAUAAAUCAGGGAGCCCUUGUGCCGCUGCAUUGCAGGCUGCGGGAAAUAUUCAGAUACCGGCAACCCUGGAGAAGCUCCCCGGAACCUCAAGUCCUCAAGCACUGAACUGCCAUGUCUGGGAAUCCAGUGCCAACCCCAGAACAGAACAGUCAUGUUCUACAGGCUACUAAUCUUAGGCAGUCAGAGAAGAAGUGUUCAUGGGCCUCCUACAUGACGAACUCCCCGACACUUAUUGUAAUGAUUGGCCUGCCAGCCCGGGGCAAGACCUAUGUAUCCAAGAAACUCACCCGCUACCUCAACUGGAUUGGGGUCCCCACCAAAGUUUUUAAUCUCGGGGUAUAUCGACGUGAAGCAGUCAAAUCAUAUAAAUCCUACGACUUCUUCCGGCAUGACAACGAAGAGGCCAUGAAGAUCCGAAAACAAUGUGCUCUGGUGGCGCUACAAGAUGUUAAAGCGUAUUUCACAUAUGAGUGUGGUCAGAUUGCGGUAUUUGAUGCUACCAAUACCACCCGGGAAAGAAGAGACCUGAUCUUGAACUUUGCCAAGGAGAAUGCCUUCAAGGUGUUCUUCGUGGAAUCUGUCUGCGAUGAUCCUGAUGUGAUUGCAGCCAACAUUCUGGAAGUGAAGGUCUCAAGCCCGGACUACCCAGAGAGGGACAGGGAAAAUGUGAUGGAGGACUUCCUGAAGAGAAUCGAGUGUUACAAAGUCACCUAUCGGCCCCUUGACCCUGACCACUAUGACAAGGAUCUGUCCUUCAUCAAGGUGAUCAAUGUGGGACAGCGGUUCCUGGUGAACCGAGUUCAGGACUACAUCCAAAGCAAGAUCGUGUACUACCUCAUGAAUAUCCACGUCCAGCCCCGAACCAUCUAUCUUUGUCGUCACGGAGAGAGUGAGUUCAACCUGUUGGGCAAGAUUGGUGGUGACUCUGGUCUCUCGUCCCGAGGAAAGCAGUUUGCUCAAGCACUAAGGAAGUUCCUGGAGGAGCAGGAGAUUGUGGACCUCAAAGUGUGGACCAGCCAGCUAAAGAGAACCAUCCAGACUGCAGAGUCCCUAGGUGUGACCUAUGAGCAGUGGAAGAUCCUGAAUGAGAUUGAUGCUGGUGUGUGCGAAGAGAUGACCUAUGAAGAGAUUGAGAAGCAAUACCCAGAAGAGUUUGCCCUUCGGGAUCAAGAGAAGUAUCUGUAUCGCUACCCUGGAGGGGAGUCAUACCAGGACCUGGUGCAGCGGCUGGAGCCGGUCAUCAUGGAGUUAGAGCGCCAGGGCAACGUCCUCGUCAUCUCCCACCAGGCUGUCAUGCGCUGCCUUCUGGCCUACUUCUUGGACAACAGCGCAGAUGAGCUGCCCUACUUGAGGUGUCCACUCCACACCAUCUUCAAACUCACACCUGUGGCCUAUGGAUGCAAAGUGGAAAUAAUAAGUCUCAAUGUGGAAGCUGUGAACACUCACCGAGACAGGCCUGCUAACAACCUCCCCAAGAACCAAACCCCUGUAAGGAUGAGGAGGAACAGCUUUACGCCUCUCUCCAGUUCGGAUACAAUAAAGCGCCCGAGAAAUUACAGUGUUGGGAGCCGGCCCCUCAAGCCCCUCAGCCCUCUUCGUGCCCUGGAUGCUCAAGAAGGGGCUGACCAGCCGAAGACCCAAGUCAGCGUUUCCGUGGUGUAACCGUAAAUAAAACUGUUGCAUUCCUUGAAACUCUCUGAAGGCUCCUGUCUUCUUUGUGUUCUGACUUUGCUGCCCUCUGCCAAGGCUGAAUUAUUUGUUUGAUUAAGGACUGAAGUAGGUCAGACACAACUCUCCCACACCACCUCCUGGGGAAGAUGAGAAGGUCACCAUAGAGGAUCCCAAGAGAAACCCCUGGCUGUCCCUGGGAGUUUCCAUGUGUUCGGUGUGCCAACCCUGCCACUUCUACCCCGAAAAAGAAUCAUCAGUAACAAGAACAGAGAAGAACACAAGAUCUUGAGCAAAAAUGCACCGUGAAGCUGAGUAGCCGUGUAUAACCCUCAUUAUUUGUAAAUUUGGAGUAACAGAGGGAGUCAUUCUAACUAAAACGUGGCCUCUUUCACAAAAGAUAAGGGACAAUGGCAUCAGACUUCACUUUUGUCUCACUGACUUCUUCUGAGGCAGGCAGUGCCAGGGGGAUAAUUGCUCUGUGCUGGCUGGUCAGAUGUAUUGAAUGAAAGCAAGCAAUAAGAACCCUCCAGAGCCAGAGGAAGCAUCUUGGGAGAAGAACCCUCAUUACUGAUCCUCCUUAAAGGUCUUAGAGUGGGCCAGACCUUGUGGGCAGUGAGCUAUCUGACUGACUGCUCUGGCAAAAAUGGGGCUGGCCAUGUGAAGGGACUCUACCCCAGAGCCCCUCAAGAUGCCCGGCUCUGGAUAAGGAGGCCAGGGCCAGACAUCUCCAGGAGACGCAGCCAGAUCUACUGUUCACUGCCAAGCUUGGGACUUCGGCGCUGCAGGGGCUAGAGCAGGAAGCUAAGUGGGGGCAGCUGGGCUUUGGGGACCAUUCAGAAGAGGCCUGGAAAACAAAUGGCAAAUAUAACUACAUUUUCUCUCCAAUGAAUACCGUGAAUAUCAUCCAGGCUGGGAAAUUCAGAGCCUCAGUGUAUCUCAGGCUCCUUGAUGGUCUGGCUCAGCUUAUCUGAAUGGAAGCUUCACUUUGUUUUCAACUCUCUCUUUGCUGGAUUUAGCCUGCAUGGAUUAUUCUGGCUUUUAUUUAAACAUUCCAUGCCGUACCUGUGUCUGCCUGUACCUUUAGCUGACUGCUUUGUCUCUGGGCACUAACGCAACUGUCUGCAUUUCGUUGUUACCUGGUGAGGCGACUGAUCUCUACAAAGACUAGAGCUCAGCCUGGGCCCCUUGUCACCCACCGUCCCUUUCAGGCAGUCAGCUCUGAAGCCCAGGCCCCAUUUUCACCUUUGCAGGACACUUCUGCCCUCUUGAGAACAAGAAAGGGAAGAGGUCUGGGGAUGCACUCAGUCUCUUUGGUGGAAUGGUCGCCACCAUUUCAAAGGAAGUCCUUUGCUUUGAAACCAUUUUUCUUGAUUUUAGGUUCUUGGUCCAGACUCCUUAAGGGCAGAAUUUUCUGAAAGGCCCUCCCAGAUAAGUCCACGCUUGCUCCUGAUUUCUCCCUUGUAGUUACUAUCCUUUCCAAUACUGGAUUUUUUUUCUCUACCUAAUGCUGUGUGCCUCUCCUAGCUGGAGGAGAGUACAGUUCCAGUUGGGAAGAAGAUUAACAUCCUAUUCACUUCCUUUUGGCAAUGAAUAAAAGUUUUUUAGGAAAUAACUUUAUCUGAAAUUUCUCUGCACUUCAAACUAUCAGACCCUCAGUAGCAGGGUCUGUCUCAGGGCCUUGUGGUCUCCAAGGAGGCUGUGACCAACUAAGGAAGCUGUCACCAAGGCACCAAGAGAGCAGCUUGGCCUGCCAACCCUCCCACAGUUGGCCUGGCCCCCGGCUCUAGGGGUCCAUCCAGCUCCUUUUGUCAGACAGAGCUUGUAGGGGCAAGGGGAGAGCAGAUGCACUCAGGACUUGGGAGCUGGCUCCCUUUGGUUUCUCUUAAAGGCUAUAGGGCUCUUGCCCUACGACUCUACACUUGACUGUACCAGAAUAAAGGGGUACAGGUUACCCCACGUGGCGGUCAGAACUUCUAAGGCGAACCUGGCUAGUCUUAUAAGGAUAAUGUGCUUUUAAAAUUUUUGUCUUUGUUUAUAAUUUUAAAAAAAUCACUGAGAUGAGCAUGUCAUGGGGAUGGAGGUGAGUGAAGAAAAGGGGAUCUUGGAGGGAAGAAAGACAAAUAAUUAAGAAGGGAACUUUUCCCUUGUGAUCCUACAUGGGAGAUACAUGGUUCUUAAUUACUUAACAUGUGAAGGGCUGAGCUGCAGGCAGUUCAACCUCCAGUGAUUAGGGGCUACACAUAUACCCUUGCAUCCAGAUAGCCCUUCAACUUUCCCUGGAACAAGUGAUUUUUUUUUUAACCUGGCUACUGGAAGCCAAUACUUGGAAAAUUCUCUCAUUCUCUCUGCCUCUUUGUAUACAUUCUGCUGUUGUCUUCAUGUUGAUUUAUAGCUUUGUUUCAUCCUUGCAGGGCAUUUGGAUUUGCCACACAAAUAAUGAAUUCUUCUGUAUUAGAUGUCUUCAAGCAAACCACUCGUGGUGUGUUUUUUACCUUGCUUAGGUAGGGUGUGGACCAGAUGGCCUCUGAGAGUCCUUCCAACUUUGAUAUUCUGUGGGGGUCAGUUUUUCCAGCAAAGAUUUUUUUUGUAAAGUGAAUUUACCUUAUGUGAAUCCUUUUUUUCCUCUAUUGAGUUUCUUUUAUAAAAUCAUUUUCUAAGGAAAAAAAGUUUUAGCUCCCAGAAGUCAUAAAAUGCCUCAGAAUGUAACAAAUCCUUUAAAUUGUGCACUCAGGAAAAAAAAAUUACAAAUUCCAGUCAAAGCAAUAAGAUACAAAACAUUUAAUAAUACUGUUCAGAGGAUUAAUAAUUUAAAACUGCCUAUUUUAUGAACAAUGAAUUAGUAGACUAUACUUAUGUUUCCAAUCUAUCCAACUCAUUGAGGACCAGUGCCUAGUAUAGGGCCUUACACAUACAUAGUGAGCAACUUUAAUAAAAAGUUGUUAGAUCAAAUCAUUAGCACUUCAAAAAUGGUAUUUAUGUCUGUGUGACCUUGGAACAAUUCACUCGUCUGAGCCUAAAUUUCUUCAUCUGUAAAAUGUGGGGAUUGGACUAAUUGAUUGGAGGGCCUUUCCAGCUUUAAAUGGAUGAUCUAAUAAUCCUAAAGUUCUUCUCAGCUUCAAAUUGAUGAUCUGUGACCCUAAGUUUGCUGAAUUGAUUGCUGAACAUUAAUCUGCUGUUAUUGCACCUUGGUAGAAAGUACAGAAAAUACCAAUGACAUCACUAAUUCAGAACAAAAAAAUCAAUGGGUCAAUUUGAGCUCCACUGUAUGCAUCAAACGGUUCCUGGAACCCUUUAACUGAAUGUGGUAAUAGAAACAACAAUAAGAUUAGCUUUUAUCUUCUUGUUAGAGGGAAUUUCUGAUUCAGUGAACAAAUUUAUGAAGCUGAGAAUUGUUAGGUUAAGUGAGUAGGGGGCAUGUGUAUAAAUAAGCCCUGGUAAAUAUGGUUAUCAUCAAUAUCAAGACUAGCACUGUUGUGAUGCUCUGAGAGGUUAUGAAAAUUUCACGCUGCUUUCUGGGGUAUUUUUGCGUUCAGUCUCCUGACUAAAAAGGGAUAAAUGGGAUCAUUCUUCCUUCCCAUUUCACAGUGCUCCCUGAGAGCAGAGACUGUUUCCUUUCAGUCUCUGUAUUUCCAGCACCUAGCAUGCGAUAGGCACUCAGAUGUUGAAUAUAUGGAGUUUGAAUGGCUGAGACCUUUAGAGAUUGUGACACGCCCAAGGUCACAAAGUAAAUCCUCCAUAGAGCCAGAAUGAAAGUCUCUACCACAUUGCAGAGUGUAUGUUAAGGACUGUGAUUGUAAACAGCCCUCCUAACCACAGCUAAUAGCCUUAUUAGGAGCUAGGCCAAAAGCUGGUGGUCCAAAGCAUUCUUCAGUGUUAGGUGAAGGUUAUUAUUACCCCUUUAGCCAUUCUUAGUUCUAACUCACAAAUGACAGGUGAGAUCAGCAUUUUUUUUCUCACCAGGUAAACUCCCUGGGUGGCCCAAACCUCCCUCCUGGUGGUAAUCAUCAACAUGUGCCCAGGCUAACCCAUUCCCCACUCCUACUCCAACAUACACACUUGGUAGCCCUAGGGUGUUGCUUGUCAUCCUGCUAGGGUUUUUUGUUGUUUUUUUCAAGUGAACUGGAAGGGAUUUUAGAGAUCAUCUAGUCCAGUACCCUCCUACUUAAUAUAAGAGGAAAAAAUGGCCCAAAGAGGGGAAAAUGACUUGGAAUGGACUGUAAUUAUUUGGAAUAUAAAGGGAAAAAAAAGAAACAUACGUGGUUCACUUAAUAUCAGUUCUGCUUUUUUUAAGUAAAAGAGGCACUUAUUUUAACGUUAAAAUGUUCAGUUUUGUAGUGGAGAUAAUAUAGAAGAUGAGAAUGAGGGAAGGAAGGAGGAAGAGAGCAGGUCCUUUAAAGGUAACUGCGUUAGCACAAAGAAUAGAGCUUCCUAUUUCCAUGGUGUAGAUUUCUUUAUUUAAAAAAAGUUCAAGGCACUUUUUUCCCUUCACCCCAUUUUCCUGAUUUUUUCCCUUCUUUCCCUUACCCCAUUUUCCUGAAUUUUCCUUCCUUUCCUCACCCCAUUUUCCUGAUUUUUCUUCCUUCCCUCACCCCAUUUUCCAAAUGGAGCAUGAAAAACUUCUCUUGCAACCCUGGCAGCACUUUAUAUAUUAUUAAGAAUGAAAGAGUACUUGGCAAUAUGAUUUUCUUUUCUUUUUGUCUAUGUUUUGUUUUGGUUCAAGCCGUCAGUAAAGAAAACAUAGGUCAGACUUUAACAGCACCUUGAAGGUAACUGGCUGAGGUGUAGGAACUCUGUUCGGCCCCUAGGAGGAAUCAGUGUUUUCUCCAUCAGGAGACUUGUGGUCUAGUUCUGGUGCUGGCCAGGUCUAAAAGAGCUUCUAUCUAAUCUACUUCCAGAUUCCAAAGAGUAGCAUAUUCCGCCAGGUGAGCCUUCUACAAUCAGCUUAACCUGCUAGGGUGUUCCUCCUCUGUUACUGCCAUUUUAGAAUCCCCAUACAAUGGAAGGAAAGGAAGCUGGACAUUCCUGAGGCAUUAUUGACUAUGAUUUGUUAAAUAUUAUUUUAUAUAUGUGCUUCCCAGAAUCACUUCUGGCACCAGUUAAUUGCUUUUUUUUCUCAUUGAUUUCUGGGUAACGCUAGACUUUGAAGCCAGCCUGGAGUAUAUAUAAUAUGGUGAAUGUGAU